AUGCCGUGAUGAGGGUAUUUUCUCAACACUUCUUUGUACCUUUCCCAUGCAUCAGAAACUGUUUCAUCAUCUAUUUCUUGAAAAAAAAACAUAUUUCAUUUAUGGACUU
Molecule: small nucleolar RNA, 109 nt
Organism: Cynara cardunculus var. scolymus (artichoke)
Lineage: Eukaryota; Viridiplantae; Streptophyta; Magnoliopsida; Asterales; Asteraceae
Source: RefSeq, a predicted model, not a curated record